AUGUUGCAUGGAUCCUAUUCGUCCCUGGGUUUGCAGCACCUGGCUUUCUCAAGACACUCUUUCUUCCUGCUAUUUAAAUUUAUGAUCAAGGCGAUGGCACCCCACUCCAGUACUCUUGCCUGGAAAAUCCCAUGGACGGAGGAGCCUGUUCAAGUACCUGAACACAAGAAUCGAGGGCAGAUUGGAAAUCUUCACUGA
RNAcentral lists this long non-coding RNA (198 nucleotides) under Capra hircus (goat). RNAcentral describes it as "lncRNA (ENSCHIG00000005266.1)". Lineage: Eukaryota; Metazoa; Chordata; Mammalia; Artiodactyla; Bovidae. The record is from RNAcentral.